AUUGAACGCUGGCGGCAGGCCUAACACAUGCAAGUCGAGCGGAUGAAGGUAGCUUGCUCCUGGAUUCAGCGGCGGACGGGUGAGUAAUGCCUAGGAAUCUGCCUGGUAGUGGGGGAUAACGUCCGGAAACGGGCGCUAAUACCGCAUACGUCCUGAGGGAGAAAGUGGGGGAUCUUCGGACCUCACGCUAUCAGAUGAGCCUAGGUCGGAUUAGCUAGUUGGUGGGGUAAAGGCCUACCAAGGUGACGAUCCGUAACUGGUCUGAGAGGAUGAUCAGUCACACUGGAACUGAGACACGGUCCAGACUCCUACGGGAGGCAGCAGUGGGGAAUAUUGGACAAUGGGCGAAAGCCUGAUCCAGCCAUGCCGCGUGUGUGAAGAAGGUCUUCGGAUUGUAAAGCAUUUUAAGUUGGGAGGAAGGGCAGUAAGUUAAUACCUUGCUGUUUUGACGUUACCAACAGAAUAAGCACCGGCUAACUUCGUG
This 484-nucleotide ribosomal RNA is filed under the name uncultured bacterium. RNAcentral's name for it is "partial 16S ribosomal RNA". It matches the Rfam family "Bacterial small subunit ribosomal RNA", at positions 30 to 507 of the family's 1533-position model. The record is from RNAcentral.